Molecule: ribosomal RNA, 446 nt
Filed under: uncultured bacterium
Lineage: Bacteria
Description: partial 16S ribosomal RNA
Rfam family: Bacterial small subunit ribosomal RNA
Source: RNAcentral
CCUACGGGAGGCAGCAGUCGAGAAUCAUUCACAAUGGGGGAAACCCUGAUGGUGCGACGCCGCGUGGGGGAAUGAAGGUCUUCGGAUUGUAAACCCCUGUCAUGUGGGAGCAAAUUAAAAAGAUAGUACCACAAGAGGAAGAGACGGCUAACUCUGUGCCAGCAGCCGCGGUAAUACAGAGGUCUCAAGCGUUGUUCGGAAUCACUGGGCGUAACGCGUGCGUAGGCUGUUUCGUAAGUCGUGUGUGAAAGGCGCGGGCUCAACCCGCGGACGGCACAUGAUACUGGGAGACUAGAGUAAUGGAGGGGGAAGCGGAAUUCUCGGUGUAGCAGUGAAAUGCGUAGAUAUCGAGAGGAACACUCGUGGCGAAGGCGGGUUCCUGGACAUUAACUGACGCUGAGGCACGAAGGCCAGGGGAGCGAAAGGGAUUAGAUACCCGAGUAGUC